GGGCCUAUCGCGCUGGGCCGAGGUGAUGCUCCGACAGCCCCGGAUCGAUCUGAUAAGGCAGAGGUCGGUGGUUCAAGUCCACCUAGGCCCA
Molecule: transfer RNA, 91 nt
Filed under: Microlunatus kandeliicorticis
Lineage: Bacteria; Bacillati; Actinomycetota; Actinomycetes; Propionibacteriales; Propionibacteriaceae
Description: Friedmanniella endophytica tRNA-OTHER
Source: RNAcentral